This 539-nucleotide long non-coding RNA is filed under the name Rattus norvegicus (Norway rat). Its description in RNAcentral is "long non-coding RNA NONRATT001488". Lineage: Eukaryota; Metazoa; Chordata; Mammalia; Rodentia; Muridae. The record is from RNAcentral.
AGUGGCCAGGCAACAGUCUGUGGAGAAACACUAUGGUGGCAUAGUCCUCUGUGCACAUGAAGAAACUGUGGUGGCUGGGGCCACCUGAGCUGGGAAGGUCAGAGGUGGCCUAUCUGGGACCUGAGGUAAAGCAACCAGCUGGGGGAGGGCAUUCUAGGUUCAGGCAAUAGGGCUAGACUUGGAGGAGGUCGUCCCAUUGUGACCAAAUGCAGUCCAGAGGCGCUGGUGACAGGGGCUGGGUGGUGAGACGAGGCCUCUCAAGUUUCAGGUACCUAGUGUGUGGAAGCAGGUGCUCCAAGCUUCCAUGGCCUGGGACAGCAGGCUCUGAGCGUGGAAAUGUGGGGUGGUCUGGUCUAAAUCUUCCUUUUAUUUGUUUUAUUUAUUUAUUUGUAUAUUUGUUUGUUUGUUUGUUUAUUUUGAAAGAGAAUCUCUAUAAGUCCUGGAUGUUCUGGACCUUGUUAUGUCAACCAGGCUGGCCUCAAACUCAGAGCUCUACCUGCUUCAAAGACUUUGGUUUUUUGUAAAGAAAAAAAAAAAAA